UCAUGGUUCUUACACAUUCAUGAUAUGCCUUGGCUAUAUCAUCUUCCUGCAGAUGGUUUUCCCAUGUCAAUUUCUUCAAUGCAUAAUCCAAUGGAUUUGUUUCCUAAAAAAAAAAUUAAAUCAUUAAGUCUGAAUACUUGUACUCACCGAAAACCCAAAAACUCCAAUGAAGAUCACAAAGGAUUCACCGAUGUUCAUCUGAGAUUCCAACCCUAGCCACUGCAUUGAGCCCAUCAG
This 237-nucleotide long non-coding RNA is filed under the name Lotus japonicus. RNAcentral's name for it is "long non-coding RNA (LJAP_LNC001676)". Lineage: Eukaryota; Viridiplantae; Streptophyta; Magnoliopsida; Fabales; Fabaceae. The record is from RNAcentral.